Molecule: ribosomal RNA, 245 nt
Filed under: uncultured Solirubrobacter sp.
Lineage: Bacteria; Bacillati; Actinomycetota; Thermoleophilia; Solirubrobacterales; Solirubrobacteraceae
Description: partial 16S ribosomal RNA
Rfam family: Bacterial small subunit ribosomal RNA
Source: RNAcentral
UACGUAGGGGGCAAGCGUUGUCCGGAAUCAUUGGGCGUAAAGCGCGUGUAGGCGGUCCGGUAAGUCGGCUGUGAAAGUCCAGGGCUCAACCCUGGGAUGCCGGUCGAUACUGCCGGACUAGAGUUCGGAAGAGGCGAGUGGAAUUCCCGGUGUAGCGGUGAAAUGCGCAGAUAUCGGGAGGAACACCAAUGGCGAAGGCAGCUCGCUGGGACGUUACUGACGCUGAGACGCGAAAGCGUGGGGAG